GAUGAACGCCGGCGGCGUGCCUAAUACAUGCAAGUCGAGCGAACGGACGAGAAGCUUGCUUCUCUGAUGUUAGCGGCGGACGGGUGAGUAACACGUGGAUAACCUACCUAUAAGACUGGGAUAACUUCGGGAAACCGGAGCUAAUACCGGAUAAUAUUUUGAACCGCAUGGUUCAAAAGUGAAAGACGGUCUUGCUGUCACUUAUAGAUGGAUCCGCGCUGCAUUAGCUAGUUGGUAAGGUAACGGCUUACCAAGGCAACGAUGCAUAGCCGACCUGAGAGGGUGAUCGGCCACACUGGAACUGAGACACGGUCCAGACUCCUACGGGAGGCAGCAGUAGGGAAUCUUCCGCAGUGGGCGAAAGCCUGACGGAGCAACGCCGCGUGAGUGAUGAAGGUCUUCGGAUCGUAAAACUCUGUUAUUAGGGAAGAACAUAUGUGUAAGUAACUGUGCACAUCUUGACGGUACCUAAGCAGAAAGCCACGGCUAACUACGU
This 496-nucleotide ribosomal RNA is filed under the name uncultured bacterium. RNAcentral describes it as "partial 16S ribosomal RNA". It matches the Rfam family "Bacterial small subunit ribosomal RNA", at positions 28 to 506 of the family's 1533-position model. The record is from RNAcentral.